This is a non-coding RNA of Hypoxylon cercidicola, 90 nucleotides long. The record is from the annotation of a GenBank genome assembly. Lineage: Eukaryota; Fungi; Ascomycota; Sordariomycetes; Xylariales; Hypoxylaceae.
AGCCGCGUGGUGCAGUGGUUAGCAUGGUGCUCUUAUACAGUCUCUUUAUGAGGUAUGCAUAGGUCGUGGGUUCAAUCCCCACCGUGGCUA